AUCGCUUCUCGGCUCUCUGAGCUGUGGUCCAAGUGUAGUAUCUGUUCUUAUCAGUUUAAUAUCUGAUAUGUUCUCAAUGUGAGAACUUUAUAUUAAACGGAUUUUUGGAACAGGGAGAUGGAAUAGGAGCUUGCUCCUUCCACUCCAUGCAUCAGCCUGGUAUUGCAGUACUUCCAGGUGUGGUGCGCCUCCC
Malaclemys terrapin pileata is the source of this 193-nucleotide small nuclear RNA. RefSeq annotates it as U2 spliceosomal RNA. NCBI's taxonomy places the organism in Eukaryota, Metazoa, Chordata, Testudines, Emydidae. The record is from RefSeq and is a predicted model, not a curated record. The transcript has a single exon.